UCAUACAUGAUGCAUAAUUUCCUUGCAAAUUAAGAAUUUUUCUGGGUUUUAUCAACUUCUUCCCCUUAAUCCUGGUGGUUCCAUAAAGAUGGAGAGAAGGUGGAAGAAUGUUUGUCUUUUCUGACAAGGAGGCUGUAACUCUUCAGGUUUUGUGUCGCCGUUACCUCUGUGUGAAGAGUUUCUUGAUUAUCUUAUCCUUUUCUUGAGCUAGUAAAAAAUAUCUUACAUCACAAAGUUUCUAUUUUAACAUUAUGUUGUAACCUAAAAUUAUAUUUAACAUACUACUUAAAACGGAUUAAUACAGUAUUACAAAAUAACCCUCCAUAAUAAAUAUAGUAUUCAAUUCAAUAUUUGCGAAGACCCAAUCAUAAAAUACACGUCUUUCACAACUGCUUAGACACAGUCCACAUUUUCCCUCCUGCCAUAAACUAAGAAACUGCCUUAAACAUACAGUGCAAGGCUCUCCUUUUAGAUCUGCCCUGGGGGUAGGUUAUAACAAGGACUUCUUUUUUUUCAAGGUCUGACAGAUAGCUCUACUGGUAAAAUUACAUCCUUCAGUGUUUUCUGGAGUUUUCAGACUGGCUCUGUCAUCCUGGGAAAUUUUCCCUUCCAGGUGGUAUGGCUGCAAGAACUUUCCUGAGGUGUGAGUGCCUUUGAUUCUACAGUGAGAGACGUUUUUCUUCUCUAUAGGGGGUCCUGUGACAAGGUGAUACAGUUACUCUUUUCCCUAGACAGGAAAUGUGGGUGUAAAAUCGUAUUUCUCCCUGGCCUCGGAGGGAGAAGCAACAGACUGCCACAUGCAUGCCGGUAUUGUUUUUUGAUCCACUGAAAACAAUCUAGUAUUAUAACAUGAUGUAUCUGUCACUGAAGGGGAUACAGAACUUCUGUCAGUGUGCUGUGAUAGGGAUGACUGCACCGUAAUUCAGUUUAAUAAAUAUUGCCUCUGGUUUUGUCAGCUUUAAGAUUAAAUUGACUUUCUUAUA
Non-coding RNA from Taeniopygia guttata (zebra finch), 983 nucleotides. NCBI's taxonomy places the organism in Eukaryota, Metazoa, Chordata, Aves, Passeriformes, Estrildidae. The record is from RefSeq and is a predicted model, not a curated record.